UGUUUAUAAUUUACCUAACUUUAAUAUAUUUGUUUCUUUUUAAAUGUUAGAUUUUUCCAAGCUCCUAUAUGCUGCCUUCAAAACUAAACUGUAGGUAACUUUUGCCAUUACCUACAGAAUUCCCUCAGGCACCACAGAUCCUCUAGAAGAGUGUUUCCAGACUGGCUCCCAGAACUGCAGGAAAUAACUGGGGGGCUAUUACUCUACACUGCUCCUUAAAGAUGGCCCUACCUACAGUAGGAGGACCACACUGGUCAUUCCAGCCACUGCUACUUGCCUCAACAAGAGGGAAAGAAAGAAGUUCUGCCAUCUGGCAGGUCUCAGAGAAUUAUUUACAAGGCUGAUUGGGGUGAGAGUCAGUGCCUCAGCCUAGUUCAUGGACACCACCUCUGGCCCUGGCCCUGGCCUUCCAGGUUCUGGGGGGUGGGGGAGAAAAGAGAAAGGGGAUGCUGUGAUUGGCCUGAACCCAGGGUGGGGCUACCUAGAGAACAAAGGCCAAGAGAAAAGAGCUGCCCUCCUCCCCCAGACUUGGAAAGAAGUCACCCACCAAAUCUCCCAAUACAAGUAACCUGGUCCCCAUCUAUCAGCUUCCUUCCCCUUUAUUGUCUGGGAGAGGUACUCAGAAAUGAUAGCUGGAAGUGAGAGUGGCAUUCUGGAAGGAACUGACAAAUAGCUCCCAGGAAGGUCCCCUCUGCCCUUACUCUCUGAGAAGGGUUUCAGACCAGGCUGUGCUACUGCCAGAACAGGCACAAAACCAGAGAAAUCCAGGGGGAAGGGAGGGAGAGUCUCAGCCUCCAGAUUCCUGCCACUCUCUAUGGAAGGGGCUGGUUGAGGCUGUCUGUGCAUGGACUGUGGACCAGGAUAGGUCGUGACUAGAUGGGGGACCAGAGACAGGCUGGUAGAGAGAAGGGCGCAGGCUGCAGGGGAGAGAUGAGAACCAGAGAGAGGGAGUAGAUGAACCAGAAGAGAUCUGUCUGGGCUAAGGGCCCAGAUCGAGGAAGGGGAGGAAGCAGCCUAUAGAAAUGCAAUGGUCCUUCCUCCCCACCCCCACUUCACCCUGCUUUCCUUACACGGCUCCCAGAGGUCCCCAUGGUUGGGCUGGGCUCCCUGCCAGGCUCCAUUCCCUGGGAAUCCGGCGGAAUGGAUGUUUACCUCUUGCCUCCUUCAAAGAAGCUCUGCUCCUCAUCUCCACAA
Molecule: non-coding RNA, 1194 nt
Organism: Monodelphis domestica (gray short-tailed opossum)
Lineage: Eukaryota; Metazoa; Chordata; Mammalia; Didelphimorphia; Didelphidae
Source: RefSeq, a predicted model, not a curated record